CAGCAGCCGCGGUAAUACAGAGGGUGCGAGCGUUAAUCGGAUUUACUGGGCGUAAAGCGUGCGUAGGCGGCUUCUUAAGUCGGAUGUGAAAUCCCUGAGCUUAACUUAGGAAUUGCAUUCGAUACUGGGAAGCUAGAGUAUGGGAGAGGAUGGUAGAAUUCCAGGUGUAGCGGUGAAAUGCGUAGAGAUCUGGAGGAAUACCGAUGGCGAAGGCAGACAUCUGGCCUAAUACUGACGCUGAGGUACGAAAGCAUGGGGAGCAAACAGGAUUAGAUACCCCCGUAGUCCCUGUCUCUUAUAA
This 301-nucleotide ribosomal RNA is filed under the name uncultured bacterium. Its description in RNAcentral is "partial 16S ribosomal RNA". It matches the Rfam family "Bacterial small subunit ribosomal RNA", at positions 509 to 809 of the family's 1533-position model. The record is from RNAcentral.